This 488-nucleotide ribosomal RNA is filed under the name uncultured bacterium. Its description in RNAcentral is "bacterial LSU rRNA". It matches the Rfam family "Bacterial large subunit ribosomal RNA", at positions 1212 to 1791 of the family's 2925-position model. The record is from RNAcentral.
UUUUAAUAAAGUUGCGGUAGUAGAACGUUCUGUAAACUUGGAAGUAAAGGCGGUAAGUUUUUAUGAAAGGUAUCAGAAGUGUAAAUGCUGACAUGAGUAACGAUAAAUUGUUUGAAAAUUACAAUCGCCGUAAACCCAAGAUUUUCUUUGUUAAAGAUUAACUUCAAAGAUUUAGACGGUCCCUAAUAUAAAUGAGUGAAAAUCAUUAUAAAUGGGUAUUUUCCUUAAUAAUGGUGUAUCGUUUUGUCUAGUGACAAAAAUUUAUUAAUUAGCUCAAAAUAUUUAUUUAUCAAUUUGAGUGUUUAAUUUUAAAAUUUUUUUCUAAGAAAAAGACUCGACUGAACACACGACCGUAUCAUAAACCGACACAGGUGGGUUGGUAGAAUAUACCAAGGCGCUUGAGGUAAUAGUAGCUAAGGAACUCGGCAAAAUAGCUCUGUAACUUUGGAAUAAAGAGUGCUGCCUUUUGGCAGCCACAGUAAAGAGGG